RNAcentral lists this ribosomal RNA (335 nucleotides) under uncultured bacterium. RNAcentral describes it as "bacterial SSU rRNA". It matches the Rfam family "Bacterial small subunit ribosomal RNA", at positions 62 to 383 of the family's 1533-position model. The record is from RNAcentral.
UCGACGGCAGCACGGUGUGCUUUAUGGCACGCCGGUUUGGCGAGUGGCGAACGGGUGCGUAAUGCGUAGGAAGCUACCUUUCAGUGGGGGAUAACCUGGGGAAACCCGGGCUAAUACCGCAUACGACCUAAGGUUUAGGUGAAAAAACGCUUCAUUUUUUUCGCGUUUGCUGAGAGAGGCGCCUACGUCGGAUUAGCUGGUUGGUGAGGUAAGGGCUUACCAAGGCGACGAUCCGUAGCUGGUCUGAGAGGACGAUCAGCCACACUGGGACUGAGACACGGCCCAGACUCCUACGGGAGGCAGCAGUAGGGAAUCUUGGACAAUGGGGCAACCCC